This 1131-nucleotide ribosomal RNA is filed under the name Actinomycetota bacterium. RNAcentral's name for it is "bacterial SSU rRNA". It matches the Rfam family "Bacterial small subunit ribosomal RNA", at positions 41 to 1155 of the family's 1533-position model. Lineage: Bacteria; Bacillati; Actinomycetota. The record is from RNAcentral.
GGNGAGUGCUAUACAUGCAGUCGAGCGAAUGGAUUAAGAGCUUGCUCUUAUGAAGUUAGCGGCGGACGGGUGAGUAACACGUGGGUAACCUACCCAUAAGACUGGGAUAACUCCGGGAAACCGGGGCUAAUACCGGAUAAUAUUUUGAACUGCAUAGUUCGAAAUUGAAAGGCGGCUUCGGCUGUCACUUAUGGAUGGACCCGCGUCGCAUUAGCUAGUUGGUGAGGUAACGGCUCACCAAGGCGACGAUGCGUAGCCGACCUGAGAGGGUGAUCGGCCACACUGGGACUGAGACACGGCCCAGACUCCUACGGGAGGCAGCAGUAGGGAAUCUUCCGCAAUGGACGAAAGUCUGACGGAGCAACGCCGCGUGAGUGAUGAAGGCUUUCGGGUCGUAAAACUCUGUUGUUAGGGAAGAACAAGUGCUAGUUGAAUAAGCUGGCACCUUGACGGUACCUAACCAGAAAGCCACGGCUAACUACGUGCCAGCAGCCGCGGUAAUACGUAGGUGGCAAGCGUUAUCCGGAAUUAUUGGGCGUAAAGCGCGCGCAGGUGGUUUCUUAAGUCUGAUGUGAAAGCCCACGGCUCAACCGUGGAGGGUCAUUGGAAACUGGGAGACUUGAGUGCAGAAGAGGAAAGUGGAAUUCCAUGUGUAGCGGUGAAAUGCGUAGAGAUAUGGAGGAACACCAGUGGCGAAGGCGACUUUCUGGUCUGUAACUGACACUGAGGCGCGAAAGCGUGGGGAGCAAACAGGAUUAGAUACCCUGGUAGUCCACGCCGUAAACGAUGAGUGCUAAGUGUUAGAGGGUUUCCGCCCUUUAGUGCUGAAGUUAACGCAUUAAGCACUCCGCCUGGGGGAGUACGGCCGCAAGGCUGAAACUCAAAGGAAUUGACGGGGGCCCGCACAAGCGGUGGAGCAUGUGGUUUAUUUCGAAGCAACGCGAAGAACCUUACCAGGUCUUGACAUCCUCUGAAAAGUGUAGAGAUAGAGCUUCUCCUUCGGGCAGCAGAGUGAACAGGUGGUGCAUGGUUGUCGUCAGCUCGUGUCGUGAGAUGUGGGUAAGUCCCGCACGACGGCAACCUUGAUCUUAUUUGCCAUCAUUAAGUUGGCACUCUAAGGUGGACUGCCGG